RNAcentral lists this ribosomal RNA (460 nucleotides) under uncultured bacterium. Its description in RNAcentral is "partial 16S ribosomal RNA". It matches the Rfam family "Bacterial small subunit ribosomal RNA", at positions 338 to 795 of the family's 1533-position model. The record is from RNAcentral.
CCUACGGGAGGCAGCAGUGAGGAAUAUUGGUCAAUGGACGAGAGCCUGAACCAGCCAAGUAGCGUGAAGGAUGACUGCCCUACGGGUUGUAAACCUCUUUUAUAGGGGAAUAAAGUGAGGCACGUGUGCCUUUUUGUAUGUACUUUAUGAAUAAGGAUCGGCUAACUCCGUGCCAGCAGCCGCGGUAAUACGGAGGAUCCGAGCGUUAUCCGGAUUUAUUGGGUUUAAAGGGAGCGUAGAUGGGUUGUUAAGUCAGUUGUGAAAGUUUGCGGCUCAACCGUAAAAUUGCAAUUGAUACUGGCAGCCUUGAGUACAGUUGAGGUAGGCGGAAUUCGUGGUGUAGCGGUGAAAUGCUUAGAUAUCACGAAGAACUCCGAUUGCGAAGGCAGCUUACUAAACUGCAACUGACACUGAGGCUCGAAAGUGUGGGUAUCAAACAGGAUUAGAUACCCGAGUAGUC